UAGCACUUCUCAGGGUAUUGAAUUAUUUUGCUUGUUUUUCCUCUUGAUUAUAGACUUUUUGCUUCACCUGAGUUUAAAAUUGAUUUGAGGCACUAUAGUGAUUUUUUUCUGGUGGGAUGUUGCUGUUGUUGCAGCAGAAGGCUGUGAGUCCUCACCAAGAAAUGUCAACCUUUUGCCAUGAGGCAGUGUGUUCCCAUCUGCAGUACUUCUGAUGGGAGGUAUCAUGACACAGCGAAGAGAUUUUGACAGGUGACAGCACUACAGAGGGUGCUGGCUGCAGUGGGAUCUCAAGAUUAUGUUUUACAAGAGCUACUGGAUGCACACCACAGAAAUCUUUUGUUUCUUUGCUCUCAGAACAAAAAAGGUCCUGCAAGGUCAUCUUCAGCUCUGUCCUGAACCAGGAUAUUUUCCUUUGCUUUACUCGACGCAGACGAAGCAGACAAGGACUGAAAUCUUUUGAAAAUUGAACAAUCAGGCCAAAGGAAGAGCUAGAAUCAGCUCCACCAGGCUUCUCUUCCAGCCUUAGUCUUUGGGAUUAAUUGGCACUGACUUAUUUAGCGGUGCUGGUGAAUGAGUCCAUGUCUCUUGAUGGCUGGUGUCUCUUCUCCCCAUCUGAGAGUAAAAAUGUCACAGUAAGGCAGCUGCUGUGAUGUCCACUUUAAAAAGUCCUGUCCAGCCACAUGGCUCCUUGUCUGUGCUGUGCACUAGCAAAGGGGAGGGUCUCACAUGGGUGAAGAGCUUUCUUCAAAGGACAUCUUCCCUUGUAUUAAAAUGUCUGUA
Meleagris gallopavo (turkey) is the source of this 780-nucleotide non-coding RNA. The record is from RefSeq and is a predicted model, not a curated record. Lineage: Eukaryota; Metazoa; Chordata; Aves; Galliformes; Phasianidae.